This 216-nucleotide ribosomal RNA is filed under the name Exophiala lecanii-corni. RNAcentral describes it as "partial large subunit ribosomal RNA". Lineage: Eukaryota; Fungi; Ascomycota; Eurotiomycetes; Chaetothyriales; Herpotrichiellaceae. The record is from RNAcentral.
AAGCGCUUACAACCAGACUUGAGCGCGACGGUUCCCCCUUCCUUUUGGUUGGGCUACUCCGUCGUGUCCAGGCCAACAUCGGUUUUGGGGGUCGGUUAAAGACGCCGGGAAUGUACCUACCCUUCGGGCGUAGACUUAUAGCCCGGCGUGUCAUGCGACCUCCCGGGACCGAGGAACGCGCUUCGGCUCGGAUGUUGGCGUAAUGGUUGUCAGCGA